This 424-nucleotide ribosomal RNA is filed under the name uncultured bacterium. RNAcentral's name for it is "bacterial SSU rRNA". It matches the Rfam family "Bacterial small subunit ribosomal RNA", at positions 358 to 773 of the family's 1533-position model. The record is from RNAcentral.
AGAGGCUUCGGCAAUGGGGGAAACCCUGACCGAGCGACGCCGCGUGGAGGAUGAAGGCCUUUGGGUUGUAAACUCCUGUCAUGAGGGAAGAAACGUCACCGUUCAAAUAGGUCGGUGACCUGACGGUACCUCAAGAGGAAGCUCCGGCUAACUCCGUGCCAGCAGCCGCGGUAAUACAGAGGGUGCGAGCGUUAAUCGGAAUUACUGGGCGUAAAGCGUGCGUAGACGGUUAUUUAAGUCGGGUGUGAAAGCCCCGGGCUCAACCUGGGAAUUGCAUUCGAGACUGAAUAGCUAGGGUACGGUAGAGGGAAGCGGAAUUUCCGGUGUAGCGGUGAAAUGCGUAGAUAUCGGAAGGAACAUCAGUGGCGAAAGCGGCUUCCUGGACCAGUACCGACGUUCAGGCACGAAAGCGUGGGGAGCAAAC